RNAcentral lists this small nucleolar RNA (133 nucleotides) under Leptobrachium leishanense (Leishan spiny toad). RNAcentral's name for it is "Small nucleolar RNA SNORA71 (ENSLLEG00000014969.1)". It matches the Rfam family "Small nucleolar RNA SNORA71". Rfam says of the family: The members of this family belong to the H/ACA class of snoRNAs which bind a number of proteins (including dyskerin, Gar1p and Nop10p) to form snoRNP complexes. This class of snoRNAs are thought to guide the sites of modification of uridines to pseudouridines by forming direct base pairing interactions with substrate RNAs. The record is from Rfam by way of RNAcentral. Lineage: Eukaryota; Metazoa; Chordata; Amphibia; Anura; Megophryidae.
ACCUGCAUCGAAAGUGAUCGUGGUCCUGCCGGUGGCCCGGUCAUUGAUACUGCAGGGAGAGUGACUGCUGAAAGUCUUUCCCGUGUUUGGAGAUGCUCGCGCGGUGCCUACCAAACCCUGUAUCUUUCGCACA